Molecule: ribosomal RNA, 300 nt
Filed under: uncultured Thermofilum sp.
Lineage: Archaea; Thermoproteati; Thermoproteota; Thermoprotei; Thermofilales; Thermofilaceae
Description: bacterial SSU rRNA
Rfam family: Bacterial small subunit ribosomal RNA
Source: RNAcentral
CAGACGUCCUGGGAUGCAGCCGCGGGAAAACGGGAGGUGAUAGAGUGAAUCGGAAUGACUGUGCGUAAAGCGUGCGCAGGCGGCUUAUUAAGUCAGAUGUGAAAUCCCUAGUCUCAACAUAGGAACUGCAUUUGAAACGAGUAAACUAGAGUAUCGUAGAGGGAGGUAGAAUUCCAGGUGUAGCGGUGAAAUGCGUAGAUAUCUGGAGGAAUACCAGUGGCGAAGGCGACCUCCUGGACGAAAACUGACGCUCAAGCACGAAAGCAUGGGGAGCAAACAGGAUUAGAUACCCCGGUAGUC